This 530-nucleotide long non-coding RNA is filed under the name Aotus nancymaae (Ma's night monkey). RNAcentral describes it as "lncRNA (ENSANAG00000039572.1)". The record is from RNAcentral. Lineage: Eukaryota; Metazoa; Chordata; Mammalia; Primates; Aotidae.
AGACACUCUGCUUCUGGCUCUGAGCUUUGCCUGUCUUCAGGGAUGGAGCCCCUCCCAAGGCAAGUUCAACCGGGUUCUUUGGCAGCGGAAGUCUACACGGACCCUGCAGGGAGUGGAGGAGAAAAUAUCUCAUCAAAUAAGGAAGACUUUAUGAGCAGAAAAUUAUCAAAAUGCUGAACAUACUGCACUGAAGAAGCAAAACCCAAAGGUGUUCAAAAAGGAUUUAUGUGUGGGGAAAAAAUGAUUCAGAGGUGAUGGCCUUUCUUGGACAUUAACAAACUGUAGAGGAGUUUGCGUCCCUGACAAUGGAUGGUAUGUAAAUCCUAACAGUGGUGGGGGUGGGAGGGAGAGGGUGGAUGUGGCAGAAAAAGAGAAGCUGAGCUCAGGCAGUUCCAUACUUACAAAGGGAGAAGUUGUUUGGAUUUUUUUUUUUUUUUGGAAAGAAAAUCUAUUGUUGAAAGUCACUUCAGCUUUUUCUACAGAGUGAGAAUAAUUGGGCUUUAAACUAUUAAUAGAAUAUGAAUAUUGAU